UAGUUUAAUCAUAAUUCACUAUUAUUAAAGCAUUAUAUUAAUAUUUGUUUUUAUCAGCAUCGAAUGUAAAAAAGACAAAAGCACCGCUCAUGGCAAAGGCAUUACAGCUAAUAAAGGGGCGUUACAAGCGGUAGUGGAAGCGUUGAAUGCAAUUUGUAGAAAGGCAUAAAUAAUUUCCAACAGCCAUGGUAAACUUUUCUUUAGUAAGGAAUUAUAUUAACAAUUUAUAGCUGUAUAAAUUUCUUUUCUUGAAGAGUGUUUUUUUAAUCUUUGUAUAUACAGAAUGUUUCGCAACCUUCAUAUAACAUUUUAAUAGCGUUAAGAUCGUUAAAAGACUAAUCGGUAUGCGCGUAUGUAUAGUUACACAUCUAGCGCACGAAUUCUACGCGAUGUCAUUAGCAAACUUUAAUCACUCGUAAAUCAAAAACUAUUACAGCUUUAAAAUUUUUGUAAUUAGAAUUUUUUUAUUUUAUUUUAUUUCUAGAAUACGUUAUUAAAGUAUUGUACAAAGGUUGUAAGAUACUCUGUAUAUCUAGAUUCAUGAAUAGAUAGAUAUAAAAAGAUAAAUAGACGAAAUGGUUACUCAUUUUUAGAUUUAGAAAUUCUUGGGCGGACUCAUACAUAUUUUUGGAUCUUAAAUUCUUAGAUUCUUGAAGUGUAAAAUUUAUGGAUUGUAUUUUAGCAAUUCAUGUGUCAAAUAUUGAUUCGGGAACAACGUGGAAACGUAUUCCCCAUGUGUUAGAUGUUGCUGUGAUUUUGAUUUCGAUUUCUUUAGACAUUUUUAAUGUAUACAUUUUGUAAAUAUUAUAUUGUGAGACAAGAGAUAUAGGGACAACUAUAGAUAUGUAAUUAAUCAAUAUACUUUGCUUAAAUUAUGCUAUUUUGAUAUAAAGAUUUCUUAUAAUCUUCUUUUAUUAUCUCGUGGCUGAUAUAUAAAUUUAAAAUAAAAAACAAUACACACACACACACACACACGAUAUUCCAUUUACAAGAUGUGAUUUAAUUAAUGUAAACUAAUUUUUUAUUUUGCAUCUCGAAAAGUAUUAAAUUGGAAUUGAUUUAUAUAUAUAUAUUACAUAUAUAUGUAAUAUUGUAAAUAGUUUGCCAAAAAAACGUCUUUUCACUGUAUGUUAAA
Molecule: long non-coding RNA, 1135 nt
Organism: Formica exsecta
Lineage: Eukaryota; Metazoa; Arthropoda; Insecta; Hymenoptera; Formicidae
Exons: 2
Source: RefSeq, a predicted model, not a curated record